Molecule: small RNA, 2898 nt
Filed under: Rattus norvegicus (Norway rat)
Lineage: Eukaryota; Metazoa; Chordata; Mammalia; Rodentia; Muridae
Description: uncharacterized LOC102552423
Source: RNAcentral
AUCAUCAUCCCUGUGUGACGUAUGUGUAUGAGACACACAUGGACCCCAAAGGGCGUGGGAGUAGCUGCCAUGCGAGGAAGGGUCUCUCUUGUUGCUGCUGCAGUGUGUGCUCCAGGCUAACCGACUUUGUUCUCAUUUUUCCGUCUCCACCUGCAAUAUCACCUCAGUGGUUCUGGGAUCACACACACCCGGCAUCUUAGCCUGUUUUCUAGAAAGCCAUAAGAAUCUUAUUAGCUAACCCUAAACCACCAACCAAAGAGUACACAUGGAGGGACCCAUGGCUCCAGCCGCAUGUGUGGCAGAGGAUACCGUUAUCGUGCAUCAAUGGGAAAGGAGGCCCUUGGUCCUGUGAAGGUUCAAUGCCCCAUUGUAGGAGAAAGAUUGCUCCCUGGUCAGGCCAGAACAAAGAUGGCAGAUUUGCAGCUCAUUGAGAAGAUUAAAUCACAUAACAUCAAAGAUUAUUUAAAGCUGGUACAGUUCAAGGCACUGAAAUGACAGAAGUCACUGGAAGAGUGGAGAGGGUACCAAUGCCUAAGUCAGCAACCUAAGGAAUCAUCUUAAUGUGCCAUGCCUAAGUCAACAACCUAAAGAACUGUCUUAAUGCCCAAAGUCUUCACCAUGACUCUUAUCUGGAUUAAUUCACCUCGUUAUUUUAUAUUCCAAGUUCUUGUCAUGGAGCAAAAGUCUAUUCAUGUAGAGUUCAAUAUCAUAUGUCAUAUCUGUUCUUUCAAAUAGCGAUACUUUGUUGCAUUUGAUCUUUAAAGAUUCCCCAACAUUCAAAUGUGUGCUAAAUGGCACAGAAGAUACAUAAGCACUCUGCUAUGCCACCAUUGAGGGGUGUCCCCAGCCACCAUUCUUCUGGUAUGGAUAUGUUUCUUGAGUUAUUAUUACUAUGAUGUUCUUUCCUUAAGUCUACAUACUUUCAGAUUAUCUUACAGAUCGCUAUGAUAGGUCAUUCUUUUAUAAAGGAGAAUAGUUAAAUUGGUGAUGCUUAUGAAUUCCAGCUUAUAUUUUAAAAUUACCAACAAAGUUGACCUUAGAGCAUGCAUUUUCAUUGGCUCAGGGUUUUCUGUACUGCAGAGGUAGAGGCUUCUCUUGCGGAAAUAGACACCAGUUGUUCAAGGCAUAUCUUGUCUUCAGUCUCACCUCACAUUAAUGUGUGGGGGAAAAGCCUAUCCCUUUACCUCAUAGCUUGUACUUGUACUUUCCUGAGCCUGGAGUUUAGUGGAGCAUACAUUAGACUGAGAAGUUUUGUUACACGAUGGAUUCUUUUAAUCGUCUUUUGCUGAAAAGGAUCAUGUUGUUGCAUACAGGGAACAACUUCAUAUUCACCAUAUCAUUAAACAUGUCUGAAGCGUUACUGUUCCUGACUGCUCCCAACAUGUCCAGUGUGGAAUACCACAGUGCUCCAUCUACUUUCACUUAGGCUGGACACAGCACUUAAAUACAGCCUUUGCUCUGAAGUCGGCAGCCUGAGAACAUCACCCGCGUUGCUUAUGCUGCUCGAUAAUGAAUACAUUUGGAGUGAUUAAGCUGGACUCUCAUUUAUACAUCUUAGCCCGAUAUUUUAAGGAUGAAUUACCAUACCAAGAGAGCUAUGUCUCUCAGUUGGCCCCCGAGUGACUGGUUUGUUGACUUUCCAGCAAUGACCAGCUAACCUUUCUUUUUCUCUUUGUCUUGGCAUGUAAGGUAAUGCUUCUUCACAUCCUUCAGAGGGAGCCUAUGUGCCAGUGCUUUCCUACUGUAAAAGCCCACUUAUAACGCAUAUGUUUCUAUUUAAUUAAGCUCCCCAUGUGACACACGUUUUCCAGGCAGAAUUCACACAAGCAAUGCAUCGCCUCAUAUAUUUCUUAGGUCGACUCAGCUACAUAGAGUUUUAUAUAAACAAAAAAAACCAAACUUCAAAAUUCCAAUAACAUAAAAAAAAACUCUCUCUCUAAAUAUGUUUCCUAUUUAGGAAAGUGUUACCAAGCUUACUCCAGUUUAAUUCCAAAUUUAAUCCUUAACCAGUUCAAAUGCACCCAAACAUAAUGAUCUACUUACCAAUCCAUCACUUGGAGCGUCUGCUAGGACGGGCAGGUGGUCUCUUUCAGAAAUACCAUUAGAUAAUGAUAAUGAUUGUAAUUAGGUGGUAAUGAUCUUGGUCAUUUACAACAUGCAGAGUCAUUUGUAUAAAUGAUUUUUUUUUUACAAGUAUGGCAAGUAGCUGGAAGGAACCAAAAGAUAUUUCAUUCCUAGAUUACAAUUUCUCUAAAUAGACACAAUUAGUUAGGCAUAUGGGUCUGGGAAAGUUUCUUCCUUGUUCCUAUUUAAUAAGGCAAAUUAUAUCAUUAUUUUCAGGGAUAUGAACUGGCAAAGAGUCAUGGCAAAUGUGGUCUCCUGCUUACAUGUUCAGCUCCCAUCAGGCCUCAGAUGUUUUGUGACUGAGUCUUGUUAGGUAGCUAAGCUAGGUCUAGAACCUGUGGCCACUCCACCUCUGCAUCCUGAGUCCUGGGAUCACAUCCUCAACCACCAAACAGGUAAAACAAACUAGAAGUGGCUGGAGUUUUUUAAUCUCAAAGCCCACCCCCUAGUGCUGAAUUUCCUCUACCAUGGACCCUUUCACCUAAACCUCCCCAAACAACAUUACCAACUUGGGAACAAGUGUCAAAUGCCAGAUUGUGGGAGCCAUUUCCUAUUCAAACCAGCUCAAUAGCAUCCCCCAACCCCCAGAUUUAGCACGGAAGUCCUGCUUCUACCUCUGCUUGUAAGGUCAGUCUGAGAUGGAGCCCUGUGUUGUUCUUCCAUGGUUCCCCUUCUCUUAUUAAAGAAACUGUGGAUGAUUUACCAUUUUUCUGACGUGAUCAACUCCAAUCUCCAACACUACCAGAGAUAAAACUAUCUUAGUUAGGGUGCUGU